This 492-nucleotide ribosomal RNA is filed under the name uncultured bacterium. RNAcentral describes it as "partial 16S ribosomal RNA". It matches the Rfam family "Bacterial small subunit ribosomal RNA", at positions 29 to 507 of the family's 1533-position model. The record is from RNAcentral.
AGUGAACGCUGGCGGUAGGCCUAACACAUGCAAGUCGAACGGCAGCACAGUAAGAGCUUGCUCUUACGGGUGGCGAGUGGCGGACGGGUGAGGAAUACAUCGGAAUCUACUUUUUCGUGGGGGGUAACGUAGGGAAACUUACGCUAAUACCGCAUACGACCUACGGGUGAAAGCAGGGGAUCUUCGGACCUUGCGCGAUUGAAUGAGCUGAUGUCGGAUUAGCUAGUUGGCGGGGUAAAGGCCCACCAAGGCGACGAUCCGUAGCUGGUCUGAGAGGAUGAUCAGCCACACUGGAACUGAGACACGGUCCAGACUCCUACGGGAGGCAGCAGUGGGGAAUAUUGGACAAUGGGCGCAAGCCUGAUCCAGCCAUACCGCGUGGGUGAAGAAGGCCUUCGGGUUGUAAAGCCCUUUUGUUGGGAAAGAAAAGCAGCAGGUUAAUACCCCGCUGUUCUGACGGUACCCAAAGAAUAAGCACCGGCUAACUUCGUG